This 1414-nucleotide long non-coding RNA is filed under the name Sus scrofa (pig). Its description in RNAcentral is "lncRNA (ENSSSCG00015058905.1)". The record is from RNAcentral. Lineage: Eukaryota; Metazoa; Chordata; Mammalia; Artiodactyla; Suidae.
CCAAAGCGCCUGGCACUCCAACACCACAGGACACUCAGGCCAGGUGGGCUCUGUUGCCGGAGAGGGCAUCAGGGACAUCUGCUGCUGGUCCACUGGCCACCCCAGGACCACUCGGGGCUCAUGGCUUCUUCCUAGGGGAGAGAGGCCUGGAGCCCACACGGGGUGCAUGGGGCAUCUGUCUGCAUCUCUCUGGAUCCGGGCACUCCUGGGCCUCCAGGUUCUGAGGCAGGGAGGGAGGUGAACUGUCCACAGGCACCUGCGAUUGAGGACCAGGCGCGGCCAGGAGCCCCUCCCUGUUGGCCCAGGUGGGCCUGCACCCACCCCCGGCAGAGCCUGGCAUGGGCGUCUGCUCUCUCCGCUGUGAGAACCGGGUCCUGGGCCCGCCUUGGACCUGCCCCCCCGCCCGCAGUGCAGUCGUUGUGGGAACUGCCCCGGGGGUGUCCGUCCACACGUGUGAUCCCAGGGAGGGAGGGGCCGACCCCCGCGCGGAGCCUGGCUCUGGGGCUGCUUUGGUGCUUUUGAGGCUGGUAGUAAUCGGCUGUUGUUAAACGUGUUCAGAGCCAGUUAGGCACCUGGAGAAGAGGAGCAGCGCCGAGGACCUCGGCACAGUCGCCCCACGUCCCACCCCUCGUGAGCGGGGACCUAGCCGCUGAGUCACAGCUUGGGAGAAGACACAGCGGGAGGACGACAGACCCAGUGGUGUAAGCCGGCACCAGCUGACUCUGCUGAUGGAUCGUCUGGGGCAGGAAUUGGGGCAGAGACGGCUCUGCCCUUGGGCGCUGGGCACCCACACGCCGCCCCGCCCCCUGUGGCUGGGCUUCCUCACAGCCUGGUGGCCUCAGGGCCUUAGGAGGGAGCAGUCCAGACCCCGAGGUCACAGAGACCCUUCUGUCGAGUCCCGUAGCUGAAACUGUCACAAGCCCACCCAGAGAAGGGGAGCCGUCUGCUGGCGCCAGGCUCGAGCUGUGACCGAGGCUUCCAGAACCCCUGGGCCCUGCCUGUGGGCGGUGUGUAUGGCUGGUGAUGGUGGCCACUCAUUGUCCCCUGGCAUCGGCUCUUCCUGUGGAAGCUGUCCCUCCUCUUCAGCCGCACAGCCCACCGUGGACGAGGUUCCCGUCGAGGGAACACAGCCCCCUUCAACCCCGGCCCACACUCCUCUCUUUGCCGUCUCCGGACUUUUGCCCUUUCCACGUGUGACCCUUACACCUGGAGCCGUACGCCGUGCGGCCUGUCGUGACAUUUCCUUCACUUAGUGACGUGCGUUUAAGGUUCCUCCGGGCCUCUUCAUGGUCUGAUGGCUCACUUCUUUUCAGCGAUGAAUAAUGUCCCGUUGCCUGGAGAGACACUGUGUGUCCGUCCACCUGCGGAAGGGCAUCUCGUUUCGGCGGUUAUAAAUAAAGCUGCUGCUUCCUCU